GGGAGCAUAAAGAUUGGACUUUAGAGGAAGAAAUGGAAGAAGGUCAUGUGGUAUGGUGAGUCCAGAUUUACACUGUUCCAGAGUGAUGGGGCUUCAGGUUAAGAAGAGAGGCAGAUGAAGUGAUGCCCCCAUCGUGCCUAGUGUUUACUGUACAAGACUGUAGGGGCAGUGCUAUGAUCUGGGGUUUUCUAGGAUCAGCAACAUUAUGCCCGAAGAAUGAGGUCAGCUGACUAUCUGAAUAUACUGAAUAACCAGGUUAUUCCAUCAGUGUAUUUUUUCUUCCAUGCUGGCACGGGAUGACAAUGCCAGAAUCCUGACAUUUUUUUCGUGGUGGCUUUUGUUUGGGUUAGGGUCUUUACACAUAAACAUGCCAAUGUAAAGGGUAUUUACAGUCGAUGCAAAAGAUCAUGAAAAGUUUCAGUAUUUACAGUGAGAUGAAACAUCUAAAUAUCUGUGGUCUGUAGGUGAACAAUUGCUUUAAGAUGUUGGAUAAAACCUCCAUAAGCUAAAGCUAUCACUCCAACACAUGAUGAACAGAAAAGACACUUUUGUAUAAUUUAUGGACAAAGAGGCUAAUUUUGUAAUAGGCCUAUAACAUAACUUAUUUUGUGUAACAAAUCCAUAAGCAAAUGUGAAAAAUAAGUAUUAUUUCUUUUUGGUCAUUUUGUAAAUGUAAAUGAUCUUGCAUUUAUACAGCAGAUUUCUACUUACUGGACAAAGACUCUUCGUUUCACUUCAGUGUCUUGCUCAUGCUCAUGCUUGGGUGCUCUGAGUACCAAUCUAUAGAAAUACAAGCUCAUCUACCAUUUACAUUCAGCUUGAGUGGCUUCAGUGUCUUGCCCAAGUAGAUUUUGGCAUAUGGUCCAUAAACUGGGGAUCAAACUGCCUACCCUCUGGUUCACGGACAACCCUGACUACUGAGCCAAAUCUAUUCCAAAUCAACUUGAGUAAAAUCAGCUGAUUUCUGAUAAUGUGCUCAUACAUGAAUAGCUGAUGAUACAGUUUUUUUUACUCCGUCCUCAUUGCCAUGCUGAUUUUCUAUGUGUCCAUGUGUCCUUAACCGACCCAUGUAUCAGUCAAAUGGGAUAGCGGGGUAAGUGUUGUAAUUCUAGAACAAAUUCUCUUGUGUUUAUUUUGCCUGUGUAUUUUAUUUAUCUUGAAGUUCCUUUUCUGUCUAUGUGUAAAACAGCUGCCAAAACUGCUUAUUGAGUUACAUACAAGUGCAUCCAAAUUUUUUGAAAAACAAUCUGCAUCUCAAAUAUUAGCUUGGCAGGAAGAUGAUGAUUUCCAAAUGGAAUAUAGUGGAAACAUUUUGAGAGCUCAUUGUGUAUUAUCAGAUCAUUCAUGAUUCUUUAUGGCUGGUAAAUGCAAGAAAAGUAAGUGGCCACGUUGCAACACAGUUACAUUCCUUUUACCACCCUUUGCUUUUGCAAUCUGCAGACUGUUACAUCUUUAACACGGGCUGUUCACCUUUUUGUUAUUCAGCUACACCUUUAAUUAAAGUGAACUGCCUUUAAGAGUUUCCGGCACAUGGAGUGUGUUUUUAAGAUCCACCCGACAGCUUGUCAUGAAUAUUGUCUUUUGAUUUCACAAUGAAUAAGCAUGUCGCCUUGAGCACAACAAGGCCCUGAAUCAUAUAUCUUUAUUUUAACAUAGAAACUAGUGUAGGCUACAUAAAUCACAGUACUUGAGUUUCUAUUACUAUUAUCAGCAAAGAGAUGUAAUUGAAAAAACAUCCUCUCAACAGUGCAGGUAAUGGAUUUCUUCCUUUUGGAUAAGUAUCAAAUAAAUCCAUUAGAAAUAUAUGUCACUGUGUUUAUUCUGUCACAUUUGAGUAUAAGGGAACUACCAUUUGAUGGGUCGCAUUAACAUGCAGAAUAGCAUUUAACAGAUAAAUGCAUAAAGGGGAAAUGAUAGGGCAGACAAUGAUGCUCGUCAAUUUGUUUCACCUGUAUCUGAUUUGGAAGCUGCAGGAGGCCGUUACAGGUACGGACGUCACUGAGCAUUAUAUUACAAUCUUUAUCUGCCUGCAGAGUCUUACUUAUAGAGUUUUUCAUAUCGCUGACACCUAGCAGCAGACAUUUAUUGAUUGGAGUUUUUUUUUUUUUUUACCCUCCCUGAAACUAUCUUAGUGUUAAUGUAACAUGACAUGAGUUGUGUUUGCGUUCAACAUUGAAAUUUCUCCUCGGCAGCGAUGGAUCACAUUAGCCUAAAUACAGUGUGCUUUGUCAAGGAAGAGCUCUGGCAACCUUCAGACGUCUACCUUAAUGGGACGCUGUGGGCUACACACAUCACGCGUAUUAUCACUUCUGCCCGCAACACAUUUCCACUAAGAUGAAGCCUCCUCCUCCUCUAUUGGAAACCAUCAUCCAAUUAAGAAGAGAACAGUGUAAAAUAGCAGUUGUUUUUUGUUUUUUUUAUCUGUAAAUAAUUUAUAUCCUGAAAUGUCUGUUAUUGUUUCCAGCAGAAGCAAUAAACAAAAAAUAAUAUUAUGA
This is a long non-coding RNA of Mugil cephalus (flathead mullet), 2495 nucleotides long. RefSeq lists it as uncharacterized. NCBI's taxonomy places the organism in Eukaryota, Metazoa, Chordata, Actinopteri, Mugiliformes, Mugilidae. The record is from RefSeq and is a predicted model, not a curated record. The transcript is spliced from 2 exons.